AGACAUGAACCACUGGCUGAGAAACAUCCUGAUUCUGACUCUCUGGCUAGAGUGUAAAGGAGAAGACAGAGUGACCCAGCCAGCAGGAGAUGUCAUUGCUGCUGAAGGAGACACAGUUACACUUGGCUGUACUUUUGAGACCAGUGACCAAUACCCCUACUUGUUCUGGUACAAACAAGAAGUAAAUGAGUCUCCUAAGUACAUGCUGAAAAGUUACUCAAAAACAACAGAUUUUGAUGCAGAGUUCACAAAAGACAGAUUUAAUGCUACAAUCAAGGAUAAGUCAGUUCCUCUGAAGAUCCAGAAGCUUCAGCUGUCUGACUCUGCUGUGUACUACUGUGCUCUGCGGCCCACAGUGACAGGAAACACCAAAACUCUGUACAAAAACCUUUGGAGCAAAGACAACAGAAUACUCCACAACGUCCACUAGAGGGAGUCACACACUGUUAAACUUCAGUGGUUUAUGAUAUAGUCAGGAUUUGUUUUAGUGGUGAUAGAAGCAACAUUAAAUGAAGCACCACAGAUAAAACACAAUAAACAAAUAACAGAACUUGAAUAUGUUCAUAGUAUUUUCAAAGUAUCUUCAAUACUACUCCAGCAGAUUGUUUUCACAGACAAUUGAAAUGCUUGGUGACUGUAACCAUUGCAAGCUUUAAGCUGUGCUGCCUGGUUUGAAGCAAUAUGUAGACUGUAAUACCCCCAUUUGCACCUCUCACCAUAAUGUCCAUUUAAUUCCCACCUACAAGUCCCUGCUCGAAAGCAGGAGAGCACAAGUAAAACUGUACUUGUUUGGAACAAUGAUGGCAUUGAGACCUUAAAGGGAAAUGAAGCAGUCAAUCAAGUUUACAUCAUUUACACAAUGGAUUUCCACUACGAUCAACAAUUAUACAAGAAACAUGACAAAUGUAAACGUAUAAAAGACAAAAGAAAAGAAGAAUUGUCAUAUCUUUAACGGAAAGGGUGCCACCAUUGUGCAGUACGAUAACCUGCAAUGUCACGGGGUUGGUUGGCUUUAAGGCUCUGGGUGAGAGAUAGUGAAAUAUAGAGCCAGUGAAAGAGAAAUAGUGAAAGAGAUAGUGAAACAUAGACCUAGUGAAAGACAGAGCCAGUGAAAGAUAAUGAACAAGAGAUAGUGAAAGACACAGACAGGGAAAGAAAUAGUGAAAGA
This is a non-coding RNA of Micropterus salmoides (largemouth bass), 1168 nucleotides long. Lineage: Eukaryota; Metazoa; Chordata; Actinopteri; Centrarchiformes; Centrarchidae. The record is from the annotation of a RefSeq genome assembly.